RNAcentral lists this long non-coding RNA (1783 nucleotides) under Calidris pugnax (ruff). Its description in RNAcentral is "lncRNA (ENSCPUG00000018223.1)". Lineage: Eukaryota; Metazoa; Chordata; Aves; Charadriiformes; Scolopacidae. The record is from RNAcentral.
AGGAGAUGGUACAGACUGCAGUGAUGGUUUGGGCUUGUAUUAGUCCUUCUUGAUAAAGCCAAACAACCUGAGAACACUCAGGGAAUGAGAGUCUGGUUGUUGUUAUAUGUUGUUAAGACCUAAAAUGGUCAGGAGUAGAGGUAAUGGAGACCAGGGAGUUAAAACUGUGCCUGCUGUGCCUCAGCUAGUGUUUUUGCCUUCCCUGUUACAUUACUGCAUCUUUGGAAAACCAGCUGAGUUUCUUUUAUUUAAGAUGUUGUCUUUUGCUGGCAGAUUGGAGCUGACUCUUGCUGAUUUCUGAAAGGGCUGAUCGAAGGGCACCGGGGUCAGAUGAACUUCAAAACAGGCUUCUAGAGCAGAAGGCACGGGGUCACUGAGAUACAGGAACCGGCAGCAACAUGGACGACCAUUCCCUUCAUGCCUUUGGGCUUCCUCCUUGCCCUGAAUUUAAACCUACUGUUCAUAAUGGAGUUCUCAGGGGCAAAAGGCUCUUGGAUUCCUCAGAGCAGGUUCAGGCCCUGCCCUCAGCUAAGAAGCCUUGUGUCUUGAAUCAUCACUGUAGCACUCCAGAUCCAUCAAAGAAACUGCUGCUCUGCUCCCCAGAUUCUGCCUGCUUUCAAGGAUCCUCUCAUUUUCUGGCUGAUACUGGCCAUGACGACCUUGUUGCCAGUUCUUCUGCCUCAAAAUAUGAUGAUGUAGCCAUUUCUCUAGAUACAACCAGAUGUUUUGAUGAUAGCGAGCCAGAUGACUCCUUGUUGGAACUGUCAGACAAUGAAAUAGGGAAUUCUCCUUUCAAUUACACCGAGGAAGAGAUCCAGGAAAUCUUGGCAGAUGAUCGUGUGGAAUCUGAGUGGUACCUAAUGAGAAAAAGCACUCUGAGCCAAAAUGUAAAUGGAGAGAGUGAAAAGGACGAGAGCAGCAGCUGCACCGGGGCAUCAGUCAUCAGCGAAGAUGUGAGCGUGGCCUCAGAGAUCACAGAGACACCAAACAAACCUCCAUCCAGAGAGUGUUCUUCAUCUGGUUCAGAACCUCCCAGCCUUUCCAAUGAGAGUGUUAGUUUGGACGGGCACCCUCUGCAGUCAGCCCAAGUACCCCGCGUGUUGUUUGACCUUGACAUUGAGGAGCUUCUGAGCCUUAGCCCAAUUGAUGCUGAUGAUGUGGAUCAGCCUCUGGAAGACAAUUCUUUGGAGGAAGCCAAAAGAGAAGCUUCAGAAGAAAACCAAAGUGAUUGCCUAGAGUUUGAUAAAACGGCAAGUAGCUGCGUUCUUGAAGAAUUCUUGGAAGAGCUGAUGUCUAAUGGAUGGCAAAGCCUGGGUGUGGGCUGCCUGGGAGAGACGCCCGUUGUGAGCAGACAUGUGCCUGACUCCUGUGAUGAUCAGCUGGAAAGGUCCAUGCUCUCUUCUGACCCUGCCUGUGACCAGAGUCCAGCUGAGGAGAGAUCAGCGCCCGGGUUACCAAGGUGUCCCACGCCAUCUUCUGGGUCUGGAAACCGAGAACUUUCCAAAGCAACGAAGAGAUAUUUUUCAAGGAAAUUAAACUUUCUAGAGGAUCAUGGGGAGCAGGAAUCUUCAGCAGCUGAACAGCCAUCAAACAGUAUCAAAUUAAGUGAUACAGCUGUAGGCCAGAUUGGGCAGGAAGAAACAACCAGUGGGAAGAAUCCUGUGUCACAGGAGGAGGAGGAAAGGUAGUUUCUUAUGAACUUCUAAAUCCCUUUGCACUGUGAAAAAUGUCCCAGGAGUUUCCCAAACCAGUUCGUUUGGUUGUGUGCUGCUGGUUUUAUCUU